UCGAAUAAACUUGUGUGGGUUGUGCUGACCCCCUCGGGGGUAUGUGCACGCCGACCAUUGUUUCAUUCAUCCCUUCCCCCUGUGCACUUUCUGUAGACCCAUGCUGUCGCCUUUCAGGUGCCACACCGUGGCCCUUGGUGUGAGGACGUGCUCUUGCUGUCCUUGGAUGGUGUGUGGCCUAUGUCUUUAUCAACUCCAUAGUAUGUCAUUGAAUGUUUGUUGGGUUCUCUAUGCAGACCCAUAAAUAUCCAUA
This 253-nucleotide unclassified non-coding RNA is filed under the name uncultured Pluteus. RNAcentral's name for it is "sequence contains ITS1". The record is from RNAcentral. Lineage: Eukaryota; Fungi; Basidiomycota; Agaricomycetes; Agaricales; Pluteaceae.